Long non-coding RNA from Harpegnathos saltator (Jerdon's jumping ant), 574 nucleotides. RefSeq lists it as uncharacterized. The record is from RefSeq and is a predicted model, not a curated record. The transcript has 4 exons. Lineage: Eukaryota; Metazoa; Arthropoda; Insecta; Hymenoptera; Formicidae.
GGAAAAAAAGACUGCAGCUCAGGUCAAAAUACUUAUCACAAAGCACGAAUAGCAAAACACCGCUAUAACAAACGUUAUUGUGAACCUCGCGACGCAGAUUGACUAUUCUCGGCGACAGAGUCGCUAAACAGCAGUGCUAUAGCGCUUCUUUUGUUUCAAAUCGUCAAGCGAAUGAUAAAAACAACGCUUGUAAAGUUUAUUGACAACUUUUAUACAAGUUAACUGUGGUGAAAAAAGUUGUGUUAAUAAAACGCGUGCACGUACGCGCAAUCAUAAACAAUCCGCAGUUAUGUGCCUAGCGUGCUGCAUAUGUUUUCCAGUUAGUUGGUGUCAGUAGAUGUCAGUUGCUUAGUAGGUGUUAGACAGUGCAUAUGCGAGGAUGUCGGCGAAUGAGAACGAGCUUAAUACGAUGACGACGACGACCGCCACAACGGUCACGACGCUCGCCACAGCCACGACGGCCACGACGGCGACCGAGCCGAUAACGUUAACAUAAUAGCUGUUUUAGGAAGAGCAAGAGGAAGAAGAAGAGGAAGAGGGACAGGGAGAGGAAGAGGAAGAGGUGGAAGCGAAG